Molecule: ribosomal RNA, 429 nt
Filed under: Acidobacteriota bacterium
Lineage: Bacteria; Pseudomonadati; Acidobacteriota
Description: Acidobacteria bacterium partial 16S ribosomal RNA
Rfam family: Bacterial small subunit ribosomal RNA
Source: RNAcentral
UGGGGAAUUUUGGACAAUGGGGGAAACCCUGAUCCAGCCAUCCCGCGUGUGCGAUGAAGGCCUUCGGGUUGUAAAGCACUUUUGGCAGGAAAGAAACGUCAUGGGUUAAUACCCCGUGAAACUGACGGUACCUGCAGAAUAAGCACCGGCUAACUACGUGCCAGCAGCCGCGGUAAUACGUAGGGUGCAAGCGUUAAUCGGAAUUACUGGGCGUAAAGCGUGCGCAGGCGGUUCGGAAAGAAAGAUGUGAAAUCCCAGAGCUCAACUUUGGAACUGCAUUUUUAACUACCGGGCUAGAGUGUGUCAGAAGGAGGUGGAAUUCCGCGUGUAGCAGUGAAAUGCGUAGAUAUGCGGAGGAACACCGAUGGCGUAGGCAGCCUCCUGGGAUAACACUGUCGCUCAUGCACGAAAGCGUGGGGAGCAAACAGG